RNAcentral lists this ribosomal RNA (771 nucleotides) under Pseudophacidium ledi. RNAcentral describes it as "mitochondrial SSU rRNA". It matches the Rfam family "Bacterial small subunit ribosomal RNA", at positions 1 to 1186 of the family's 1533-position model. The record is from RNAcentral. Lineage: Eukaryota; Fungi; Ascomycota; Leotiomycetes; Rhytismatales; Ascodichaenaceae.
UUUGGGGGAAUGUAUAGCUUCGGCUAAUUAGCUUUGUGACCUUCUUAUGCCUUUGGUAUAAGGAGGCCAAUAACAAAGUUAAUAUCAGUUUAUCUGAAUAAAGUUCUAGAUAGAAUACUGAUUAUGACAAUUUUCUAUCUAUAUGUCUUGACCAAAUUACGUGCCAGCAGUCGCGGUAAUACGUAGAAGACUAGUGUUAUUCAUCUUUAUUAGGUUUAAAGGGUACCUAGACGGUAUUACUAGCCCAAAAGAGGGAACAGUUUUACUAGAGUUUUAUAUGAGGAGGGGAGUAUUUAUGGAGUAGAGAUAAAAUUCAUUAAUACCAUGAAGACAGGUAGCGGCGAAAGCAACCUCCUAUCUAAAAACUGACGUUGAGGGACGAAGGCCUGGGGAGCAAACAGGAUUAGAUACCCUAGUAGUCCAGGCAGAGAAUUAUGAAUGCCAUAGACUAGAUUUAUUUUAGUCUAUAAAUGAAAGUGUAAGCAUUCCACCUUAAGAGUAAUGUGGCAACGCAGGAACUGAAAUCAUUAGACCGUUUCUGAAACCAGUAGUGAAGUAUGUUAUUUAAUUCGAUAGUCCUCGAAAAACCUUACCACAAUUUGUAUAUUAUUUUAUGAUUAAAAUAAUACAAGCGUUGCACGGUUGUCUUCAGUUAAUGUCGUGAGAUUUUGGUUAGUUCCAUAAAAUUAACGUAAACCCUUGCUUUAUUUUUAAAUUUUUCUUAUAAAGCAGUUCGCCACUAUAUUGGUAUUUGAUAACAGGGAUCAAGAC